RNAcentral lists this transfer RNA (65 nucleotides) under Acanthodactylus erythrurus lineomaculatus. RNAcentral's name for it is "tRNA-Tyr". Lineage: Eukaryota; Metazoa; Chordata; Lepidosauria; Squamata; Lacertidae. The record is from RNAcentral.
GGUAGAGUGGCCGAUGAUAGGCGUGGGGCUGUAAACCUCACCAUGGAGCAAGGCUCCCUCUAUCA